CCCCUCUCAGGGUCACACCUGGAGAGUUUCCAGUACUCUACCAGUCUCACCUAUGGAAGGAAGAGUCAAGCAGAGGCAUAUCCAUUCCACUCUUAGCUUGGACAGUGGCUAGCGAGUGGAAGGCAAUCUGCUACAAGU
Molecule: small nucleolar RNA, 138 nt
Filed under: Ornithorhynchus anatinus (platypus)
Lineage: Eukaryota; Metazoa; Chordata; Mammalia; Monotremata; Ornithorhynchidae
Source: RNAcentral